Molecule: non-coding RNA, 193 nt
Filed under: Oscillospiraceae bacterium OttesenSCG-928-F05
Lineage: Bacteria; Bacillati; Bacillota; Clostridia; Eubacteriales; Oscillospiraceae
Description: 6S RNA
Rfam family: 6S / SsrS RNA
About the family: E. coli 6S RNA was the first non coding RNA to be sequenced, but its function was unknown until recently. It consists of 184 nucleotides that fold into an extended hairpin structure with a large single-stranded internal bulge. The 6S RNA specifically associates with RNA polymerase holoenzyme containing the sigma70 specificity factor.
Source: RNAcentral
UUUACCCUGCUUGGUGCGUGACGGGCUAUUUUUAAACCUACGUGACUUGAACGGGAUUACGGCCUCCCGCGGCGGAUUGCAGGCCUCCCGGCCCUAGGGCUGGAUGUUGGAAGCAGAGAAAUCGCGGGGAGUAAACCCACCUGCUAUAAAAGCAGGUUUUUAAAAAGGUCCGCACGGCCAAAGUGGGGUUAUC